CCUCCAAUCCCCGGUGCCUGCCCUAAUUUCCUGAUCCAGGGAACCUGCCGCCGCAGCAGCUGUGCGCUCCCUACAGUCAUUACUGUACCUUCCCGGCAGCCGCCAACCGUAAAUGCAGCAGCAGCAGCAGUUAGCACUGAUGCAACUACUGAGGCUAUUGCCACCGCCUUCCCACUAACGCGGCUUACAGCCCGGAGGGGGGGACUUGCAGUUUCCAGGGGCAACAAGCGUCUCUCUACCACCUUCUCCUGCGCCUCAAAGGAGGCUGGUCCUGUGAGGCUGGAAAGGUACAGUCUUGACAAGGAACAAAAGACGUCUGUAUAUGAAGAAAUGACAGAUGACCAUGUGUUAAGUGUCAGCUUUGAUGGAUUUACACAAGAAGGCCAAAGCAACUCAAGGAAGGGAGACACCCCUGGAAUCCUCAGGACCUUUUGGUGGAGCAGAAAGCUUUGGUUCAUGCACCUGAAAAGCUGACCCGGAAGUCAUGCUUAGAGAAGAAAAAGAGGGAAGAGCCUCUUAGGUAACUUGAAGAGCAUAAAGGAUCCAAUGAUAAAAACCACUGCCCUGAAGUGACGUGUGCUACUUUCAGCUGAGGACUCAACUGCUGACAUGACACCCUCGAGAUCUCUCUUUUUCUCCUCUGCCAUCACAUCCCAAAAUCCUCCAGAGUGGAUGCUUCAUCAUCGUGGGUUUGGAGCUAAGAUGAUGACGAUACUGAGAAGAGCCUGGGGCAGACUCACUGUGAAAAAUAAACUUUUAUUGUUUUAAGCCACUGAAGAAAACAGAAAACACUGCCCUGAACUUUCCAAGGUGUAAUAAAUCUCUCUGCAGUCAUUGCCAAGGCAGAUCCUGAACUGAGAGCCACGUGGAAAGAGGACUGGAAUGGAAAUCAGAUUCGGGGUCCUGCUUGGGUUUCUUCCAGAUGACCCCACCCGUCAGCCAUCUGGUCUCAGGUAAGUAUCUGUGACUUACAAAAAAA
Delphinapterus leucas (beluga whale) is the source of this 979-nucleotide non-coding RNA. Lineage: Eukaryota; Metazoa; Chordata; Mammalia; Artiodactyla; Monodontidae. The record is from RefSeq and is a predicted model, not a curated record.